This 301-nucleotide ribosomal RNA is filed under the name uncultured bacterium. Its description in RNAcentral is "partial 16S ribosomal RNA". It matches the Rfam family "Bacterial small subunit ribosomal RNA", at positions 509 to 807 of the family's 1533-position model. The record is from RNAcentral.
CAGCCGCCGCGGGAAAACAGAGGGUGCGAGCGUUAAUCGGAUUUACUGGGCGUAAAGCGUGCGUAGGCGGCUUUUUAAGUCGGAUGUGAAAUCCCUGAGCUUAACUUAGGAAUUGCAUUCGAUACUGGGAAGCUAGAGUAUGGGAGAGGAUGGUAGAAUUCCAGGUGUAGCGGUGAAAUGCGUAGAGAUCUGGAGGAAUACCGAUGGCGAAGGCAGCCAUCUGGCCUAAUACUGACGCUGAGGUACGAAAGCAUGGGGAGCAAACAGGAUUAGAGACCCCCGUAGUCCCUGUCUCUUAUAC